GCACUUGUAGCUCAGUUGGUGGAGCGCCGCACUCGUAAUGCGGAGGCCCCCGGUUCGAGUCCGGGCUGGUGCU
This 73-nucleotide transfer RNA is filed under the name Bifidobacterium tissieri. Its description in RNAcentral is "tRNA-Thr". It matches the Rfam family "tRNA". From Rfam's summary of the family: Transfer RNA (tRNA) molecules are approximately 80 nucleotides in length. Their secondary structure includes four short double-helical elements and three loops (D, anti-codon, and T loops). The record is from RNAcentral. Lineage: Bacteria; Bacillati; Actinomycetota; Actinomycetes; Bifidobacteriales; Bifidobacteriaceae.